GCUUUUAUUUUGAAGGUCAAGGUGGGUCUGGGACAGGAAGUCAGCCAUUUUGUUGGGAUUGUUUUGCUCAGUCACACAUGAGGAGGUGAAUCUAUCACAAUCCGCCUUUUGUUUAUGCCAUCGACAUCACCGUCUUUUACUCCAUGUCAUACGAGUACUUGGGUCAC
Xiphophorus hellerii (green swordtail) is the source of this 167-nucleotide long non-coding RNA. RefSeq lists it as uncharacterized. NCBI's taxonomy places the organism in Eukaryota, Metazoa, Chordata, Actinopteri, Cyprinodontiformes, Poeciliidae. The record is from RefSeq and is a predicted model, not a curated record. The transcript has 2 exons.